This 465-nucleotide ribosomal RNA is filed under the name uncultured bacterium. RNAcentral's name for it is "partial 16S ribosomal RNA". It matches the Rfam family "Bacterial small subunit ribosomal RNA", at positions 338 to 795 of the family's 1533-position model. The record is from RNAcentral.
CCUACGGGUGGCAGCAGUGAGGAAUAUUGCGCAAUGGACGAAAGCCUGAAGCAGCGACGCCGCGUGAAGGAUGAAGGUCUUCGGGUCGUAAACCUCUUUCCACAGGGGAGAACAGUCACUCUGCUAAUCCUCCUUUCAUUGACAGUACCUGCAAAGGCAGCGCCUGCUAACUCCGUGCCAGCAGCCGCGGUAAUACGGAGGGUGCGGGCGUUAAUCGGAAUUACUGGGCGUAAAGCGCUCGUAGGCGGUAUGUCAAGUCAAGGGUGAAAUCCCCGCGCUCAACGGGGGAAUUGCCGUUGAAACUGGCAAACUGGAGUGUGGGAGAGGAGAGCGGAAUUCCAGGUGUAGCAGUGAAAUCCGUAGAUAUCUGGAGGAACACCAGUGGCGAAGGCGGAUUGCCGGACAGCAACUGACGCUGAGGCGCGAAAGUGUGGGGAGCAAACAGGAUUAGAUACUCGAGUAGUC